UGACGUCUCAGUAUUCCUUCCGUGGAUUGGUCAGAGAAGGGACUAACUGCUCAACGGUAAUGACUUAGCAAUAUCACAAGAUGUCGUAAUUUACAAGUGUAAGAGUCAAAGCUCGGCACUGUAUGUUGAGGCAUGGAGAAAUGUCCUGUAUUGAGUCUGCUGCAACAAAGACCCUCAUUUUGCUUGACACCGGAGACAUUGUCCUAGCUAGAGCAAGGCCUGUGUCCUGGGACGUAGCGAUGCCAGCCAGCAAGAGAUGAUCUAUCCACGUCCUGGCAUAACCUAGGUAAGCUAGGGAUGGAGGGGUAAUGAGGGUGUGAGGUGUAUGUAUAUGUGUGUGUGAUGGGGUAUUUGGGGAGAAGGUUCCUAUCCCUUUGCCUUCCCUUGAGAGCUGCAUUAGUGAAGGGUGCUGACAGAUUUGAGUCUACCCCUGGGGAGACCAGAGAGACUGUAGUCGCAGCCCUGAGUCUGUUCUCAUGACUUCACUGUUGGGACAAACCCAGUUUUGCUGACUCCUUUUGUUCUUCUCAGUUACUGUGUGAUUUGCUGAAGUUAAUGGCUUUAGGUUAUCCAAAUACAAUGGAACUCACUGGCAUUUAAUUUAUGGUAUUCAAAGACCCCCCAAAUCAUCUUACAGAAAAUACUUGGAUCUAGGACUUGUUUUUACAGACGGAAGACCUUGUAUGAAUAUUAUUAUUUUUGAGAUGUUUAUCAGUUUAUCAAAUGUAACUUCAUAGGUGGUUUGUGCACCAUAAAAUACCUCUGAGAUCAUUUGUACUGGGCUCAACAACAGCUGUUAUCCUCAAACCUCAGGAAAUAACACAAACAAAACUAUGUGUAUUAUGUACUAUUUAUCAGAUCAAUUAAGGGAAAGUGGUAGCUAACUCAUUUACCAUCCAUCUGUAUGCAGGGUGCAAAAUCAACACCAGCCACCAGCCAAAUGCUGGUAAAAGAUACAAAUGGCUGGUAGAUUUACUUCUCUCACCAGCCAAAAAACAAUGGUAAUCUAUUGCAGUGGUUCUCAAAGUGGGGUCUGUGGACCCCCAGGGAUCCUUGAGGUGGUUCCAGGAGGUCCCCAGCAAAAAUGGGAAUACUUUAUUUUCGUUUGUAAUUCUAUCCAUAAGUAGCACAGUGACAGAAUGUCUGGCUAUUCUGGUCAUGGGUUUCGUACACUUUCUGUAAUAAAACAUCUAAAAGCAAAGAUUCUAUCAGAUGGGGGACCCUGGGACAAAAUCUUAUCAAAUGGGGGUCCGUGGUCUAAUUUGUGUUAGUUUAGGGGUCCCUGAUGUGAAAAAGUGUGAGAACCACUGAUCUAUUGAGUGUCUGGUACACACUGAGCGUUCACUAGCCAUUGGCUGGCGGACAAAAUGUUAUUUUACCCUGUAUGGUUUCCACAGACAGCCUGAAGAGGAUACUCUUAGUAUCCUAGUUGGAGUCAAUAGAACUAAUAUUUCAUGGCUUGUGCCUCUGAGCUGUUGUAGAACUGCGUAUAUGUUACAGUAGGCCCAUUCUACUCUUUGUACAGUACAUAACUUCACUGUCUUUCUCUUUUUUUCUCUCUUCCUCUAAAACACACUAAGGGCCUUUGGGCACACACAGGUAAUUACCAAGGGUUGAGAACCAGGAAAUGAGAGUGGCCCCCUCAUGUCCCCUCAGGUUAUCCAUUUAUGUUGCUUCAUGAAUCAGGAUACACCAAAGGCACCUACUGUAACUGAAAGAAGAUAAGGCACAUAAUGUGUUUAAUGCUGCACACAGACCCUUUCUCAGGUUAACACUCCCAAUGGCAAUGGUCUUGUCAAGGGAGGACGCAGUCACUAGUGGAGGAGCUGAUGAUUAAAAUAAUAUAGAAUAUAGGGAAAUCUAAUAUUAAAGCUGCAGUGAGCAACUUCGGCUGCAAAUGGCACCAAAUAAUAACUGUAGGACUUUUCUGGCUUUGGUGACCUCCAGUGGUUGUAUCAAAAAAAGAAACCAGCAACUGUGAUAUCUAGUUUCAUCCAUCUUAUUAGUUGUGUUUGGAUAAACAUAAUCUGUCAAAAUAUGAAACCAGUUCUUUUUAAAAAACGAUAUAACACACAGAGGUGUUUUUAAUUUUGUUUAAUACAACCUCUUAUCAGGCCUGUGUGGGUGUAAACUGUAGUGCCUGGUUGACAUCCUCUGACAUGAUCAUAUAUAUUUAGUGUGCAGAGGUCUAAUUAGCCAAGUGACAACACCUGUGCGGGGCCUCUAGUGUUUUUCUGAGAUAGCCUAGCUUGGUACUUAGCUAGGACUUAAGCAAACUUCUGAUGUGUUUUAGGACUGUCAUUUGUAAUUCAUUGAUUCUCAUCAGCAGGCUGAGACAAAGACAGCUGGUAACAAUUUUGGAUAGACAAGUGCAAUAGGCCUUUUUUUGGCUUGUCAUAGUUGGAAAGCACAGGUGUUACUAAUAACAUUAAAGGUGGCUCUGUUCUGUUCAAGUGCUCCAGUAAGCCAUGGCAAGUGGGUACAGUGAAUGUACAAUACCAGAGCCCUGAAUAAAAGCAGCUAAAUGGAA
Micropterus salmoides (largemouth bass) is the source of this 2530-nucleotide long non-coding RNA. RefSeq lists it as uncharacterized. The transcript is spliced from 2 exons. The record is from RefSeq and is a predicted model, not a curated record. Lineage: Eukaryota; Metazoa; Chordata; Actinopteri; Centrarchiformes; Centrarchidae.